GCUUUUCAGCAGAGGCACCAAGAUGGCAUGCUGUUGGGGCAGGGGGAGGUGACUUAUUUCUCAUGCCUAAAGUGGAACAAGUUGAAGAUGUGCUUCCUACCAAGGCUGGCUGCCAUGCCUUCCUGGUAUGAUGGACUCUUAUCUGUCUGGAAAGACUUCUUCCCACCUCAGAGGAUCCCUACUGUUGAAAACAUACUUUAUUCGGAUGACAUCGGAAUACACAGGUGAAUUGUCUGCAAAUAGCUCACAAGUUGUUAAGGAAGACAGUGUGGAUCACGUCAAGGCGGGCAUAGUGG
Molecule: long non-coding RNA, 296 nt
Organism: Mastomys coucha (southern multimammate mouse)
Lineage: Eukaryota; Metazoa; Chordata; Mammalia; Rodentia; Muridae
Exons: 4
Source: RefSeq, a predicted model, not a curated record